This 834-nucleotide long non-coding RNA is filed under the name Orbicella faveolata. Its description in RNAcentral is "uncharacterized LOC110051395". The record is from RNAcentral. Lineage: Eukaryota; Metazoa; Cnidaria; Anthozoa; Scleractinia; Merulinidae.
CAAGAACUUAAGGUUGCUCCUAAUGGUUUCCAUUACCUCCAAGCACUUAUGCUAUGGUGGGAUAAAACUGCCUUAAAUUCUCGCAAGUUCAACUCUUUUUUAAAUUUUUACGAAUUUAGUGGCUCCGAACCCUUAUAAUACGUUCAUCACCAAAUGUCUUUUAAUCUGUUGCAGGAUUUAAUACAAGGACAAGAGAACUGCUAUGCACUUUUAUUCCCAUUCUUAGAACUGUGGUUCUUUAUGUCCAUAGAGCACACUUAGCACUGUUUUAUUUGAACGGCGUUUUCUAUCACAUCGCGAAAAGGCUAACUGGAGUCCAAUAUCUCUUGGUUCGAAGCAGUCUCAGAAAUGAUGGUUCCAGACCUACUUAUCGCCUGCUUGGUUAUCUGUCCGUUAUUCAACUGAGUAUCACUCUCUUAUUGACCGCCUAUCAGCAUUUAAAAUCUGGCAAGUCGCUAGAAAGCCUUGUAACAACAGACAAGACAACACAAGCAAGCGCCACUAUUACGCCUGGCUUGAAGUGUGCACUCUGCUUGGAGAGACUGCGGGACAAGAGUGCAACUCCGUGUGGCCAUUUGUUUUGUUGGAGCUGUAUUACUGAAUGGUGUAGCAGCAAGCCUGAAUGCCCGCUUUGUCGUGAACCUGUUCAGCUCUCAAGACUGGUAUUUCUACACCACUACGAACCCACGUAAACUGUUGCUUUUAUUUUAGGUACUUUAAAACAGAUUUUAUUCAACUCAGGUCAAAAAUCAUACAACCCGCGCAUAAGUUGACGUUCGUGUAAAGUUGGGUAGGAAACUUGUAAAUAAAGAGGGAAUGUAUAUUCAAUCAAAA